UUGAACGCUGGCGGCAGGCCUCACACAUGCAAGUCGCGCGGAUGAAGGGAGCUUGCUCCUGGAUUCAGCGGCGGACGGGUGAGUAAUGCCUAGGAAUCUGCCUGGUAGUGGGGGAUAACGUCCGGAAACGGGCGCUAAUACCGCAUACGUCCUGAGGGAGAAAGUGGGGGAUCUUCGGACCUCACGCUAUCAGAUGAGCCUAGGUCGGAUUAGCUAGUUGGUGGGGUAAAGGCCUACCAAGGCGACGAUCCGUAACUGGUCUGAGAGGAUGAUCAGUCACACUGGAACUGAGACACGGUCCAGACUCCUACGGGAGGCAGCAGUGGGGAAUAUUGGACAAUGGGCGAAAGCCUGAUCCAGCCAUGCCGCGUGUGUGAAGAAGGUCUUCGGAUUGUAAAGCACUUUAAGUUGGGAGGAAGGGCAGUAAGUUAAUACCUUGCUGUUUUGACGUUACCAACAGAAUAAGCACCGGCUAACUUCGUG
This 483-nucleotide ribosomal RNA is filed under the name uncultured bacterium. RNAcentral's name for it is "partial 16S ribosomal RNA". It matches the Rfam family "Bacterial small subunit ribosomal RNA", at positions 30 to 507 of the family's 1533-position model. The record is from RNAcentral.